GAGUUUGAUCGUGGCUCAGAUUGAACGCUGGCGGCAUGCCUUACACAUGCAAGUCGAACGGCAGCACGGGAGCUUGCUCCUGGUGGCGAGUGGCGAACGGGUGAGUAAUGCAUCGGAGCGUAUCCUGGAGUGGGGGAUAACGUAGCGAAAGUUACGCUAAUACCGCAUAUUCUGUGAGCAGGAAAGCGGGGGACCUUCGGGCCUCGCGCUCUUGGAGCGGCCGAUGUCGGAUUAGCUAGUUGGUGAGGUAAAGGCUCACCAAGGCGACGAUCCGUAGCAGGUCUGAGAGGAUGAUCUGCCGCACUGGAACUGAGACACGGUCCAGACUCCUACGGGAGGCAGCAGUGGGGAAUUUUGGACAAUGGGGGCAACCCUGAUCCAGCCAUGCCGCGUGAGUGAAGAAGGCCU
Molecule: ribosomal RNA, 408 nt
Filed under: bacterium enrichment culture clone ALO1_GLFRUDD03FKBBP
Lineage: Bacteria
Description: bacterial SSU rRNA
Rfam family: Bacterial small subunit ribosomal RNA
Source: RNAcentral